ACUCCCAAAGGCCUCCCGGCCCGGAGGCCACACCCUCUGCCGGAAGCUCCCCUAGCCUGGUCCUCUGCCGGACUGAGUCUAGCCGCCACCAGAAACCUCGCUCAGUCGGCGGAGGGGCCGUGUGGCCGGCCGAGGCUGGGCUGCGGUCUGUCCAGCAGCCCUGCGACCGGGAGAGGAAGAGAGGAAGGCGCCGGCGCUCCGCAGCUCAGCCGCGCCUCCGCGUGAGGACGCGAAGGCAGAGGGCACCCGGGCCGGUCUCUGCGCGGACUGCCUCCCAGGGUCUCGGGAGUCGGGAGUAUUGAAAGUGCAGCUAAAGCCACCAGCGGCGGGUGCCAAGGAAGGAGAGGUCGUUUCAGGCGGUGGAAGAGAAGCAGGUUUGUUGAGGACGGAACACGAGCCUUGCUGACUGCCCGAGACCAAGCCCCGGCUCUGCGUGGCGUUCACAACCCCCCCCCCCCCCCCCNCCCCUGCGCUGAGCACCUGCUGUGGGCUGUCGCGGAGACAGACUGACCAGACAGACCCCUGCUGUCGUGGAACUUGCAUUCUCUUAAGAUGGCCGAGAGCUCACAGCCACAGACCACCGCAAACUGCCCAGAGGUAGGCAGAGGCGUCAUUUCUGAGAGCAGCCAGGGAAGCCCCGAGCUUAUCAGAUUAUUCACGUCGGCCCUUGGGUUUAGGUGGAUCUAGAAGGACAAGGGAUAAGGUUUUAACCUGGGGACCCAGAGGCCUACCAGCUUCUCGUGGGAGCGCCCAGUCAUCUUACUCCCGCUAGAACUGCGCUGCCUCAUCGUUGCCUGGACCACCAGCGGAUGACACUUGGGGUGCUAUCCUCUUACCCCCUCCAGAUCCUGCCCUCCCUUAACGUCAGAGAAUCCUGUCCGUGCUCUUAGACAUCUCAGUCAACAACCAUACGGCGGACCUUGUCACCUCUCACAGUUAGCUAGCUCCCAAACCCGAGGCUCCUACUUUCUGCCUUACCCACUCUCUCCCAAAAACUUGUUAGACCUCAUUGAGAUCUCCUAGUCUUGUUUUGGCAUUUCCUUCACAGUCAGGUGAGAUGUUUGCUCAUCAUAAAAUUUUACCCUGGCCCACAUUUCUGAUCACUCUGCUGAAAACUUCUGGAAGUCUCUGAUGAAAUCCUUAUUGCCGGUAUUUGGCACUCUCAAUAACCUCACCUUCUUAAAACCCUAUUGUCGGUCUAGUUUUCUUGCUUCCUCUUCAACCAUUCCUUCUCAGAUUCUAGACAGGGCUCUUUGAGCCCACGCUUUAGUGCUCUGUCCCGUGUUUCCUUCCUUAGUCCUCUUAUCUCUAGAUGAUAGUCUGUCCAUCCAUGGCUUUCCCCCCUGUGUCACCAACUCCAAAAAUGAUUUCCAGCCCAGCAGGGCUCUCUGGAGCCCUCGUGGCAUUUAUUCAACUGCCCCUGGUUGUUGGCUCUCACGUCUCCCACAGGUUCUUCAAACUCAACAAAUUCAGCCUGAACCCAGCUCUUCUGCAAAGCCUGCACCUCGGUGUUCUGGAUCCCUGAGGGCAACAUGGCCAUCCUCAAACACCCGGGGCAGACACCUCAUCCUUCAGCCGCACCGCGCAAGCAACGUGCGGGAACUGUCCGUGUUCCCUCUGUAGUCGCUGGAACGAAUGUAUGAGUUGUGUCAUCUCCUUCCUCGUCCCUCUCCCUCUGUCCCUGCUGGCACGUUCUUAGGUCGGGUUCUUCUCCCCCAGCUGGAGGAUGGCAGCGGUCCUUAGGAAAACUACACCGAUGUUACCUUCUGAAGGGUGGUCCUUCAAAAGCCCCACACUGCACAUGCGCAGAGUGCAGGAGGCCCCGACUCCCCUCGGUCCGCCCAGACCUUCAGAGCUCCGCCUCCAAGCCCCCCUCCCCCGUCCCCCUGCCUGUCUCCGGCUCCUUGCCAGGUGGCUACUGCGCACACACGCACACACACACACACACACACACACACACACACCUCACCCCCGCUGCUCUCUGCAGUUGCCUUCAAGGCUGGGAAGGUUUUCCUGGUCACCUGGUUUUAGCCAGUUUACAAGUUUCUCUCUUUCUUUUCCCUGAUGGUACAUGUCAGACGAUGUUUAUUUAUUCUCUCACAAUAUUUACUGAAUGCCUACCCUUUGUCAGGAAUGAUUCCACUUGCUGGAGACAGUUUCUUCUCAAGCGUACGCCGUUAGCUGGGAAACAGACAAAAACUAGAUGAUAUGGCAGGCAGUGUUUCUGUGCCAGCAGGAAAAUAAAGUAGGUCAAGCGGACAGGGAGGAACGGUAUGGAAGCAGGUGCUGGUGGGGCAGGUGGAAGCAGGGCGCAGGUGGGGCAGGUGGAAGCGGGGCGCAGGUGGAGGCAGGUGGAAGCGGGGCGCAGGUGGGGCAGGUUGGUUAGACAGCCUGUCUGGUAGGUCGUAUUCGAGCGGAGAAAUGAUGAGGUGGAAGAACAAGCGAGGAGCUCUCCUGGGAGGGAUGUUCCAGGGAGAAGAAACUAGCAAGUGGGGCCGGUUCUGGGGCCUGGGCAGCUGGGUCCCCCUAGUCUCCUCACAAACGUUCCUUGUGUGUCUGGAUUUCUCUCCGUAACAACAGCAGUGCCAUCCACUCAUUAACACCAGGUGCCAGGACUCUCGGGGUGCGUGGUCUUAUCCAUUCCUUAAAUAUCACAGGGACCGUCUGAGGGAGGUAUUACUGUUCUCCAUUCUACGGCUGAGGAACUGAGGCUCAGAUAGGUUAAGUAAUUUUUCUUAAACUAGAUUUUUACUUAAAAAGCCAUACACACUCCCAGGAAAAGUCAAGCAUUACAGAAGGCCGGCCAUGGAAAGCCUGGGUCUUCCUUCUGUCUUCUCACCCCAUCCCUUUGUCCCCCUCUCCAGGAGUCUCCACAAUUAACAAUUUCUUGGGUGACCCUUUUGAUGCUUUCCAUGCGUCUGCAAGCAUAUAUAUCUAGGAUAAAUGUCUUUUUCUGCAAAUGGGACCAUUCUGUACGUACCAUUCUGCAACUUUUUUAACCCAACAGUGGUGUCGUCCGUGCACCUGCAACAUGUCGCGCUCUGUCCUCAGCCCCAGGGACACAGUGGUGAGGAGGAAAAUCCCCUGGCUCUCGGGGCCCACCUGACCCGCCAUGUUGCUGCGUGCAGAGGUUCCCCUGCCCGAUGGCCUCACCCAGGGUGUAGAGAGGGUUGCCAAGGUUUUUCCAAGACCAAUACUCCAUGAACAGCCUGCGUACUUUGCAACAUAUAUCAUAUGUUUCUAAAAUUAAAAUGGCAUGUCAUUGAAAACACAUAAAUGUCGGAUUACUGCCCUGAAAGCCUGUCUUGAAUUACACUUCCUUUUUUUAAAAUAAGAUUUUAUUUAUUUGAGAGAGAGAGAGAGCAUGGGGGGGGGUGAGGAGCAGAGGGAAAAACAGACCCUCUGCUGAGCAGGGAGCCUGAUGUAGGGCUCAAUCCCAGGACGCCAAGAUCAUGACCUGAGCCGAAGGCAGACGCUUAACCCACUGAGCCCCCCAGGCGCCCCUCACAUUAUACUCCCUCCUUCGGUGGAGGAGGGAGCAGUUUUCUGCACUCUGGUUAGUAGUAGACAUCUCUAUUUCAAUGAUUUACAAUUAUGAAAAAAGUUUUUUAAAGGAAGAAUAUUGAAUUUUAUAGGUGCCAUGUGGCAUCUUUUGAGAUAAUCACAUGUUUUCUGAUGUUCGUCCUUUGACCUGUCAAUACGGGGCAUUUUGUGAUUGGAUUCACCAAUAAUAAGCCAUGCUUGUAGCUUUGUAAUGAACCCCAGAGGGUCAUGAUGGGGUCAAGGUCUUGCUGCAUUUGGUUUCUAUAUAAUUUUGUGUAGGAUUUUUGUGAAUAGGCUUUAUUUUUAGAGCAGUUUUUAGGUUCAUAGCCAAACUGAGCAGAAGGUGCAGAGAUUCCCCGUGUACCCCUAUUCCCACACAUGCACACCCCCCCAUCAUCAGCAUCCCCCACCAGAGUGGGACGUGUGUUGCGGUGGAUGAACCCACCCAUCGCCGUCUCCCAGAGUCCACAGCUGACACCAGGGCUCACUGUGCGGUCUAUGGCUUUGGACAAACGUGUGGCAUGCGUCCGCCACUGGAGUAGGAUAGAGUCGCGUCACUGCCCUAAAGCCCCUCCGUGCUCCUCCUAUUCAUCUUUCCGUCCCCCCAGCGCCUGACAGGCACGAUCUCUUCACAGUCUCCGUAGUGUUGCCUUUUCCAGGGUGAUAUGUAGGGGUUUGCAUCAAAAUUCCUAAGGGAUAUUGUUCUGUAGUUUUCUUGUGCGUGCCGUCUGCCUGGUUUGUGUGUCUGUGUUAAGCUGCCUCUCUGAAAAGAUCGGGAGUCUUGCUUCCGUCCCCAUGUGUUCCGGAACAGUUGAAGUGGCAUUGGGACAAUACAGUCCUUAGGUUCUGAAAGUGUCCACCCUGAAGUUGACAGGCCAUUGCGCUCCUGCCCUAUUCUGUCGUGUUUCCCGGUGUCUUCACGGGCCGUGGGGGUGGGCGGGUUCUGUUUUUUCCCCCUCUGUCUCUGGAGAGGCAGUUUCUCUCUCUCUCUCUCUAUCCUCACUCUGCUAUUUUCCACCCCUUUCGCCUGUCCCGAUCUCUCCUCUCCCUCUCUCCUUUAUUUCGCACACCUGUCUCUCCGUUACGAUAGAACCGACCUCAUCUUGAAGAUUCACGAAGCAGCGUGAGCAAAGCCCCUGUCACAGCACGGGUCUUGGUUAGAAUUCCCUCUCCUGUCUCUACCUUGUUCUCUUUCCUUCCUCAUGCUCUGCCGCCCCUCAUCUCUCCCUUCCCAAUCACACCUGUCCUCCGCGCCCAGCCUCCGGGGGCUCUCCCCACCUCUGCCUGCACCUCUGUCCCUGCCUCUCCUUCCCUGUCUUUCUCCAGCCUUCCUCUGCCUCAGCCUCCCUCCGCAGGGCAGUGUGCUGCCCUGUGGCUGCUGCCUGCCCCUCUCUCUGGCCGCGGGGCAGAGCAAUGCUGUCCGGCCUCUGCAGGGCAGGUGACGCUUCCUCCUGGCCGUCUGCCCCUCUCUCCCUGGGGCAGCACCUGGCUAUACGUCCCCAUGCUGCGGAGAGCUGCGGGCCACCAAGGACGCGUGCCCGGCGUUUGCCCAGGUGAGUCCUCGGGGAGCCCGGCUGCACGCGUGGAGAGGUGGGCUGGAACUGGGGGGCAGGACGCUCCCCUUCUUCUGUUUCUUCCUCCACUGCCCACAGACAGCCCCUGCUGGGCUUGACUCUGGUAGUUAAAAAAGAGGGCUACCCAGUUAAGACAGCUAAGGACCAGUGCAGGGAAGGGUCUUUCGUGGGGGCUUCGGACUUCCGUGAAGGAGCCAGGCUCAGCUGGGGAUGCUGGGACAAAGUCAGGAAGGAGAACCAAAUAUUCCCGCAUAUAUCCUGUGGGACUGUCCGAGCUACAGGGUCAGGCCGUGAGGCCAGACCCCAGCUCUUCUCUCGAAGGGUCUUCGAGAGCUCCUCAUGAACCCCGAGACUCAGUGGAGCCUGGCUGCCAGCUGGGCCCUCGUCCAGAAGCUCCUGCAGGUCCUUCAGGCCCUGAGCUCUUGCUUUUUGUCCUUGGACUCUGCCUCAAGACGUGCUCUGUCGCAAGGCCUCGCAUCCCUGGACUUCUCGCGAGGCUUGGCUGUCUGCGCGUUCUCACAGCUCAGCGGGGUGUGAGACCCUCCGCGGGGCCCUGAACUCACCUCCCUGGCUUGGGCGGGAUGGGGGCAGGCAGGGAGCACGCUCACACCGCUCUAGAGAAGCUGAGAACACAUCCUGGGGGCAGCCUUCCCACAGGAAACCCCACCACCCGAGCCCAGGGCCUCUGCCUUAAGGACAAUGUGAUUUCAGGGGAGACAGACAUUUCCUGAUCAUUAAUGUAUAAGAAACAAAGGCCACGAGAGAAGAACAAUUAAUAGGGCUGGAGGGCGAAGGAAAAGGUGACAUAACCCUCCACAGGCAGGCUCCUGAAGGAAGGCUUCCUGGAGGAGGUGGCAUGUGAGCCCUGCAGGACAGGCAGGUUCUUUUUUUUUUUUUUUUAAGAUUUUAUUUAUUUAUUUAACAGAGACAGCCAGCAAGAGAGGGAACACAGCAGGGGGAGUGUGAGAGGAAGAAGCAGGUUCCCAGUGGAGGAGCCCGAUGUGGGGACUCGAUCCCGGAACGCUGGGAUCACGCCCUGAGCUGAAGGCAGACGCUUAAGGACUGUGCUACCCAGGCGCCCCAGGACAGGCAGGUUCUUGACAGGGAGGUAGGAGGUUAUGCACAGGAGGAGGACUUAACCUUUAGACCCCAGAGGUCACCAUGCUCCUGAAUUUGACUUGAGAAAUUCUUGUGGCCGUCUCUGGUCCCUGAAAUGACACAGGGGUGAAGGGGGGGUGGAGGGCAGGAACCGGGAGGGUGAAGCACACUGGGCCUCCCCUGGGAGGGGAUCUGCCCCGGAGGGAGAGCGCUCCCUCUGGGGCUUCAUUCGGCCUCUCCCCUCUUCUCUCCUGCUGGCCUUGUGCCCACAUGAGCUCCCUCUCCAGCGCUCCUCGGGCAGCAGCUUCCUGGGUCGGUGGGAGCUGGGAUUGUCAGUGGCCCUGCAGUCCAGCCGUGCUGCUUGCCCUCCCCGGACCCCCGGGGGCCAGAGCCCCAGCAGGGAGGGAAGGUGGAGUCGGGGCUUGCCGGAGCUGGCCACGGACUCAUACCCCGUAGAAGGAAAACCACAGAAGUGGACCGGCAGAGUUGUCUGUUGCUGUGUAACAAGUCAUCCCACAAGUUAGAGCCUAACACCAGCGUGUGUUACGUCACAGCGUCCAGGGCUCAGGAACCAGGCGCGGCCUCGUCAGCGGCUUCCACCUCGGGGUAUGUUCGAGGCUGCCCUCAGCCUGUCGUCACCAAGGCUCCACGCGGACAGGAUCCACGCACAAGCUCCCCCGAUGAGCCCCUCGUGGUCCAGUCUUGGGAGUGAAGGAGCAGGAAGGAAAAUCUGAGAAGGAGGUGUAGGGCCCUGGCACCCUGGCCACACAGACAAGGCUUGAACCACAGAUGGCUCCACAUCUGGACCGAACGCCUUGUGAUGUUCCCAGAGCACGACAGCGUGGGAGGAGCUGGCUCCCUGUCCCCGGGGCUGUCCUGCCACAGGCGUGUCACCUGCAGGCUCUGAUGAGGCCUUAGCCAGGGCGGGCAGCGGCCCUCGCCGGAGGGGCCCCGUCUUCCACGUCGUGGUCAUCUGUCCACUUCUUCACCCUGCACGAGGGCCCUGAAAGCUGGCGCCCUUGGCUACUCUUCCUUUCGUCAUCUGUUUCGCAGGAGUGCCGUCCUGACCUUGGAAUGUGCAACCUUCAGAGGUAGUCCCCGGCGCAGCAUCAGAGUCUGAAGACGUGUUCCUUGCUCACGUCUUGGUUUCCAGCGUGGCGAGAGAGCGCGUGGGAGCGCCUUAGUGUCCGUCACACGCGCGGCCGUCUCAUGAUCGGCCCUGCCGGCCCGCCGUGCCUCUUCAGUUUCCGUAUUUUUAUUUUGAAACUCAGGCCGUAUAGUCGUACCUUCUGCUAGUCUUACAUUCAUCAGCAGACGUUCAAAAGUGACUUUUGGGUCGUAAGCAGAGGGACAGUGUUGAGCAAGCAGCUGUAUUCAUCGUCGUGCUUCGCCGCCUAGCUUAGCCCUUGGCCGCUGUUGGGAAUUUCAUCCCACGUAGAUGCGAGAGGCGUGCGGUCUGUUUGCACUGAGAUGCUUUCGAUGUCCGCGUACUGUAGCUCUCAUUUGAUAUAUAUUUCGAUAUUUAUAAAUCUUUGUGGGUGAACUGCCUUGAUGGCAUUUAAUCUUGAUCCCCAUGCGGUAUCUGUAUGUGUUUUUAAUGUUGGUUUUAAAACAGACAUCAGAAUAUCCCACCUGCUUGUUCAUUUUUUUUGAAAUCACAAGAAAAUAUAUGUGUCUAAAUCCUCUAUACAGUGCUAAAGGAGCUGAUGAAAUUUGAUUUCAUACAAGGGGCAUUUUUGCACGUGAAGAUUAGGAGCUGAGGAAGGCACAAAUUUGACACAACCAUAUUCCGGGGGAAAUAAUGGUGUAUGCACUCUUGUUUAAUUUGCCAUCCUUGCUCCCUUGUUACAUCCCUGGCCAUGAGCAUUUUUUAUAUCAACUCUCUUUCCAACCUCUACUCUCCUAACCUAGACCUAGGAAGCUUUUUCUUCUAUUUCGAUAGAGUUAGUGCACGUUAUUUUAUCGUCGUGGCAUUACUCUUCAUGCGGGCAGCCCUCAUAGUCUGACAGUUGUUCACAGUGGGCACAAUCAGAG
Molecule: long non-coding RNA, 8249 nt
Organism: Ailuropoda melanoleuca (giant panda)
Lineage: Eukaryota; Metazoa; Chordata; Mammalia; Carnivora; Ursidae
Exons: 3
Source: RefSeq, a predicted model, not a curated record